RNAcentral lists this ribosomal RNA (605 nucleotides) under Salmonella enterica. RNAcentral describes it as "partial 23S ribosomal RNA". It matches the Rfam family "Bacterial large subunit ribosomal RNA", at positions 2198 to 2802 of the family's 2925-position model. Lineage: Bacteria; Pseudomonadati; Pseudomonadota; Gammaproteobacteria; Enterobacterales; Enterobacteriaceae. The record is from RNAcentral. RNAcentral also lists the same sequence under 4 other names.
UACCACCCUUUAAUGUUUGAUGUUCUAACGUGGACCCGUUACCCGGGUUGCGGACAGUGUCUGGUGGGUAGUUUGACUGGGGCGGUCUCCUCCUAAAGAGUAACGGAGGAGCACGAAGGUUGGCUAAUCCUGGUCGGACAUCAGGAGGUUAGUGCAAUGGCAUAAGCCAGCUUGACUGCGAGCGUGACGGCGCGAGCAGGUGCGAAAGCAGGUCAUAGUGAUCCGGUGGUUCUGAAUGGAAGGGCCAUCGCUCAACGGAUAAAAGGUACUCCGGGGAUAACAGGCUGAUACCGCCCAAGAGUUCAUAUCGACGGCGGUGUUUGGCACCUCGAUGUCGGCUCAUCACAUCCUGGGGCUGAAGUAGGUCCCAAGGGUAUGGCUGUUCGCCAUUUAAAGUGGUACGCGAGCUGGGUUUAGAACGUCGUGAGACAGUUCGGUCCCUAUCUGCCGUGGGCGCUGGAGAACUGAGGGGGGCUGCUCCUAGUACGAGAGGACCGGAGUGGACGCAUCACUGGUGUUCGGGUUGUCAUGCCAAUGGCACUGCCCGGUAGCUAAAUGCGGAAGAGAUAAGUGCUGAAAGCAUCUAAGCACGAAACUUGCCCCGA